RNAcentral lists this ribosomal RNA (456 nucleotides) under uncultured Chryseobacterium sp. Its description in RNAcentral is "partial 16S ribosomal RNA". The record is from RNAcentral. Lineage: Bacteria; Pseudomonadati; Bacteroidota; Flavobacteriia; Flavobacteriales; Weeksellaceae.
CACGGAGUUAGCCGGUGCUUAUUCGUAUAGUACCUUCAGCUACCCUCACGAGGGUAGGUUUAUCCCUAUACAAAAGAAGUUUACAACCCAUAGGGCCGUCGUCCUUCACGCGGGAUGGCUGGAUCAGUCUCUCACCCAUUGUCCAAUAUUCCUCACUGCUGCCUCCCGUAGGAGUCUGGUCCGUGUCUCAGUACCAGUGUGGGGGAUCACCCUCUCAGGCCCCCUAAAGAUCGUAGACUUGGUGAGCCGUUACCUCACCAACUAUCUAAUCUUGCGCGUGCCCAUCUCUAUCCACCGGUAGUUUUCAAUACCGAAUGAUGCCAUCCAGUAUAUUAUGGGGUUAUUAAUUCUUCCUUUACGAAAGGUCUUACUCCCCCAGUAUAAAGGCAGGUUGCACACGUGUUCCGCACCCGUACGCCGCUCUCAAGACUACCCGAAGAUCUCUACCGCUCGGCU